RNAcentral lists this ribosomal RNA (468 nucleotides) under uncultured bacterium. RNAcentral describes it as "bacterial SSU rRNA". It matches the Rfam family "Bacterial small subunit ribosomal RNA", at positions 333 to 793 of the family's 1533-position model. The record is from RNAcentral.
GCACUCCUACGGGAGGCAGCAGUGGGGAAUAUUGCACAAUGGGCGCAAGCCUGAUGCAGCCAUGCCGCGUGUAUGAAGAAGGCCUUCGGGUUGUAAAGUACUUUCAGCAGUGAGGAAGGUGGGUAUGUUAAUAGCAUAUUCAUUUGACGUUAGCUGCAGAAGAAGCACCGGCUAACUCCGUGCCAGCAGCCGCGGUAAUACGGAGGGUGCGAGCGUUAAUCGGAAUUACUGGGCGUAAAGCGCAUGCAGGUGGUUUGUUAAGUCAGAUGUGAAAGCCCCGGGGCUCAACCUCGGAAUUGCAUUUGAAACUGGCAAACUAGAGUACUGUAGAGGGGGUAGAAUUUCAGGUGUAGCGGUGAAAUGCGUAGAGAUCUGAAGGAAUACCGGUGGCGAAGGCGGCCCCCUGGACAGAUACUGACACUCAGAUGCGAAAGCGUGGGGAGCAAACAGGAUUAGAUACCCUGGUAG